RNAcentral lists this transfer RNA (72 nucleotides) under Ovis aries (sheep). It matches the Rfam family "tRNA". Rfam says of the family: Transfer RNA (tRNA) molecules are approximately 80 nucleotides in length. Their secondary structure includes four short double-helical elements and three loops (D, anti-codon, and T loops). Further hydrogen bonds mediate the characteristic L-shaped molecular structure. tRNAs have two regions of fundamental functional importance: the anti-codon, which is responsible for specific mRNA codon recognition, and the 3' end, to which the tRNAs corresponding amino acid is attached (by aminoacyl-tRNA synthetases). tRNAs cope with the degeneracy of the genetic code in two manners: having more than one tRNA (with a specific anti-codon) for a particular amino acid; and 'wobble' base-pairing, i.e. permitting non-standard base-pairing at the 3rd anti-codon position. The record is from Rfam by way of RNAcentral. Lineage: Eukaryota; Metazoa; Chordata; Mammalia; Artiodactyla; Bovidae.
UCCCGGAUGGCUCAGUGGUAAAGCAUCUGCCUGCCAAUGCAGGAAACGCAGGUUCGAUCCCUGGGUCAGGAA